Molecule: ribosomal RNA, 589 nt
Filed under: uncultured bacterium
Lineage: Bacteria
Description: bacterial SSU rRNA
Rfam family: Bacterial small subunit ribosomal RNA
Source: RNAcentral
CCUACGGGAGGCAGCAGUAGGGAAUCUUCCGCAAUGGACGAAAGUCUGACGGAGCAACGCCGCGUGAGCGAUGAAGGCCUUCGGGUCGUAAAGCUCUGUUGUUAGGGUCAGAACAAGUAUCGUUCGAAUAGGGCGGUACCUUGACGGUACCUAACCAGAAAGCCACGGCUAACUACGUGCCAGCAGCCGCGGUAAUACGUAGGUGGCAAGCGUUGUCCGGAUUUAUUGGGCGUAAAGCGCGCGCAGGCGGUCUUUUAAGUCUGAUGUGAAAUCUCGGGGCUCAACCCCGAGCGGUCAUUGGAAACUGGGAGACUUGAGUGCAGAAGAGAAGAGCGGAAUUCCACGUGUAGCGGUGAAAUGCGUAGAGAUGUGGAGGAACACCAGUGGCGAAGGCGGCUCUUUGGUCUGUAACUGACGCUGAGGCGCGAAAGCGUGGGGAGCGAACAGGAUUAGAUACCCUGGUAGUCCACGCCGUAAACGAUGAGUGCUAAGUGUUAGAGGGUUUCCGCCCUUUAGUGCUGCAGCUAACGCAUUAAGCACUCCGCCUGGGGAGUACGGCCGCAAGGCUGAAACUCAAAGGAAUUGACGG